CCUACGGGAGGCAGCAGUGGGGAAUUUUGGACAAUGGGCGAAAGCCUGAUCCAGCAAUGCCGCGUGUGUGAAGAAGACCUUCGGGUUGUAAAGCACUUUUGUCCGGAAAGAAAUGGCUCUGGUUAAUACCUGGGGUCGAUGACGGUACCGGAAGAAUAAGGACCGGCUAACUACGUGCCAGCAGCCGCGGUAAUACGUAGGGUCCAAGCGUUAAUCGGAAUUACUGGGCGUAAAGCGUGCGCAGGCGGUUGUGCAAGACCGAUGUGAAAUCCCCGAGCUUAACUUGGGAAUUGCAUUGGUGACUGCACGGCUAGAGUGUGUCAGAGGGGGGUAGAAUUCCACGUGUAGCAGUGAAAUGCGUAGAGAUGUGGAGGAAUACCGAUGACGAAGGCAGCCCCCUGGGAUAACACUGACGCUCAUGCACGAAAGCGUGGGGAGCAAACAGGAUUAGAUACCCUGGUAGUCCACGCCCUAAACGAUGUCAACUAGUUGUUGGGGAUUCAUUUCCUUAGUAACGUAGCUAACGCGUGAAGUUGACCGCCUGGGGAGUACGGUCGCAAGAUUAAAACUCAAAUGAAUUGACGGGG
Molecule: ribosomal RNA, 587 nt
Filed under: uncultured Ralstonia sp.
Lineage: Bacteria; Pseudomonadati; Pseudomonadota; Betaproteobacteria; Burkholderiales; Burkholderiaceae
Description: bacterial SSU rRNA
Rfam family: Bacterial small subunit ribosomal RNA
Source: RNAcentral